UGUAACCACCAGAGAUCACAGCUGUCAUAUCAUCUUGAAACAGCUACAGUUAUCUUGAAAUAUUGUUUGUGUUCAUCACUAUUUUGAAAAGAAUGGUAGCUAACAUACUGGCCUGCAGCUCUUGCGACAUCAUCUGUUAUCAAAGAACUCGACUAUUUCGCAAUGAAGCGAAACACAGGGGCUUCACCUGACGACGGGCUAAGGCACCCACCGCCUUCUAAGCCAUCACUUUUAUUCUUUGCUGUAUCAUCAGGAGCCACCUCAGGUCCUGACAUAUAGUAGGUGUUCAUUACUUUAUUACUGAAUGAACCAGAAAGCAAAUGAAUGACUACUAGCAGGAGCCUUAACACGACCUUGCCCGGGGAGAGGAGCAGAAUGUUCCUGGGAGCCUUUGCCGCUGGCGCUCCUGGGUGCCUUGCUCCCUGCACUGAGAGUUCAGGGCUGACCAGAGUCCUCGCCAGGCGGGACAAAACCGGGCCAUUCCCUUUGCUUUUGCAGCCACACAGGCCGCCUUUACCCAGAGCUGGAGCCCAGGGGAUGUUCCAAAAGGACGUGGCGGACCUUCCGCAACUAAGAUGGGUCAUUACCAUCAGCUCUGGUCCCGGAGAAACGAGGUCGGAGCCGACGGCCGCCGCCGCACUGCCCACUCUGGCCACGCGAUGGCGCUGUGGGCCCGGCGGCGAAGCCCCUGCGCGCGCUCUCGCCGGACUCCCGGCCUGAAGAUCGCGGUUCGGUUCCGCCUCUGAGCGGCCGCGGGGCUCCCGGCCUGGAAAGGGCGCUCGCGAGUCGCCUCCAGCAUCGCAGCAGCCCGGCUGAGGUUAAUCAGCAGCUGGUCGGUUACCGAUUGGUUCUCAGGGACUGGAAAUCAUCCCCAGGACAGAUGGGGAUAACAACCCGGACCAGCUGGUAGGACGGAAGGAGAGGAUGCUGGAAAAGGUGCACUCAGCGCUGGCGCCCUGCACAGCACACUAGGGAAUCAGCAUCAUCCUUUGACCCAGGCCAGGCAAGCUGCAGGUUGUCAUCUCCAGAAGAGGCCAGAAAAUAGACAGUCUAUAGGAAUAUUUACUGCGCUUGCAUGAGAAAAAUUUCCAAGCUACCCCCUGAAGCAAUGAAGUUGGAUAUGGAGCAAAUGGAAACAUUGUGAAAUUGCUUAUUUUCUUCCAAUUUGUUAUUUUUCUUCCUUAUUUUCUGUUAAAUCAGUGCCACUUAUUAGCAACCAUAUUUUUGCAUUAUAUACUCAGCAGAA
Long non-coding RNA from Phacochoerus africanus (Common warthog), 1246 nucleotides. RefSeq lists it as uncharacterized. The record is from RefSeq and is a predicted model, not a curated record. NCBI's taxonomy places the organism in Eukaryota, Metazoa, Chordata, Mammalia, Artiodactyla, Suidae. The transcript has 3 exons.